Molecule: ribosomal RNA, 501 nt
Filed under: Roseivirga sp.
Lineage: Bacteria; Pseudomonadati; Bacteroidota; Cytophagia; Cytophagales; Roseivirgaceae
Description: bacterial SSU rRNA
Rfam family: Bacterial small subunit ribosomal RNA
Source: RNAcentral
CCGCGUGCAGGAAGACGGCCUUCUGGGUUGUAAACUGCUUUUCUACGGGAAGAAAAUGCCCUUGCGAGGGAAAUUGCCGGUACCGUAGGAAUAAGCACCGGCUAACUCCGUGCCAGCAGCCGCGGUAAUACGGAGGGUGCAAGCGUUGUCCGGAUUUAUUGGGUUUAAAGGGUGCGUAGGCGGAUCUUUAAGUCAGUGGUGAAAGCCUGCAGCUUAACUGUAGAACUGCCAUUGAUACUGGAGGUCUUGAGUACACUAGAGGUAGGCGGAAUUUAUGGUGUAGCGGUGAAAUGCAUAGAUACCAUAAAGAACACCUAUAGCGUAGGCAGCUUACUGGAGUGUAACUGACGCUGAGGCACGAAAGCAUGGGGAGCGAACAGGAUUAGAUACCCUGGUAGUCCAUGCCGUAAACGAUGAUUACUCGAUGUUGGCGAUAUACUGUCAGCGUCCAAGCGAAAGCGUUAAGUAAUCCACCUGGGGAGUACGCUCGCAAGAGUGAAA